This 265-nucleotide ribosomal RNA is filed under the name uncultured bacterium. Its description in RNAcentral is "partial 16S ribosomal RNA". It matches the Rfam family "Bacterial small subunit ribosomal RNA", at positions 565 to 828 of the family's 1533-position model. The record is from RNAcentral.
GAGCACGUAGGUGGGUUUGUAAGUCAGAUGUGAAAGCCUUCUGUUCAACGGAAGAAUUGCAUCUGAAACUGCGAGUCUUGAGUGUAGGAGGGGAGAAUGGAACUUCUGGUGGAGCGGUGAGAUGCGUAGAUAUCAGAAGGAACGCCGGCGGCGAAAGCGAUUCUCUGGCCUAUUACUGACACUCAGUGUGCGAAAGCUAGGGGAGCAAACGGGAUUAGAUACCCCGGUAGUCCUAGCCGUAAACGAUGGGCACUAAGUAGAGGGG